GGCACAUUGUCGGGCUCGUGGUCAGUAGGUCUGGCAACUCAUUAGACUCAUGUUUGUUUAGGCUCAGCAUACAGCUAAACUCAAUUAUGUUGGGUCUGGUAGCUUGCCAAACUCGCGUCCACUUGGGCUCAACGUGUAGUU
RNAcentral lists this microRNA precursor (141 nucleotides) under Populus trichocarpa (black cottonwood). RNAcentral describes it as "miR6428 stem-loop (ptc-MIR6428)". The record is from miRBase by way of RNAcentral. Lineage: Eukaryota; Viridiplantae; Streptophyta; Magnoliopsida; Malpighiales; Salicaceae.